This 460-nucleotide ribosomal RNA is filed under the name uncultured bacterium. Its description in RNAcentral is "partial 16S ribosomal RNA". It matches the Rfam family "Bacterial small subunit ribosomal RNA", at positions 338 to 795 of the family's 1533-position model. The record is from RNAcentral.
CCUACGGGAGGCAGCAGUAGGGAAUAUUGGUCAAUGGCCGGAAGGCUGAACCAGCCAUGCCGCGUGAAGGUCAGUGCCCUAUGGGCGUUAAACUUCUUUUGUGCGGGAGCAAUAAUGGUCACGUGUGGCCAGACGAGAGUACCGUACGAAUAAGCAUCGGCUAACUCCGUGCCAGCAGCCGCGGUAAUACGGGGGAUGCAAGCGUUAUCCGGAUUUAUUGGGUUUAAAGGGUGCGUAGGCUGUGAGGUAAGUCAGCGGUGAAAUGCCCCCGCUCAACGGGGUGAAGUGCCAUUGAUACUGCCUGGCUGGAAUGCGGAUGCCGUGGGAGGAAUGUGUGGUGUAGCGGUGAAAUGCAUAGAUAUCACACAGAACACCGAUUGCGAAGGCAUCUCACGAAUCCGCGAUUGACGCUGAUGCACGAAAGCGUGGGUAUCAAACAGGAUUAGAUACCCGGGUAGUC